UUACGGCCAUAUCACGUUAAAACUCCGCUUCUCAUACGAUCAGCGGAGUAAAGCAAGGUUGCGCCUGCUCAGUACCUAGAUGGCUGACCGCUCGGUAAUACCAAGUGUUGUAAG
Acanthosepion pharaonis is the source of this 114-nucleotide non-coding RNA. The record is from the annotation of a GenBank genome assembly. Lineage: Eukaryota; Metazoa; Mollusca; Cephalopoda; Sepiida; Sepiidae.